Molecule: ribosomal RNA, 253 nt
Filed under: uncultured bacterium
Lineage: Bacteria
Description: partial 16S ribosomal RNA
Rfam family: Bacterial small subunit ribosomal RNA
Source: RNAcentral
UACGGAGGGUGCAAGCGUUAAUCGGAAUUACUGGGCGUAAAGCGCACGCAGGUGGCUGAGUCAGUCGAUUGUGAAAGCCCUGGGCUUAACCUGGGAAUUGCAGUCGAUACUACUCAGCUAGAGUAUGGGAGAGGGUAGUGGAAUUCCCGGUGUAGCGGUGAAAUGCGUAGAUAUCGGGAGGAACAUCAGUGGCGAAGGCGGCUUUCUGGGCCUUACCUGACGCUGAGACGCGAAAGCGUGGGGAGCGAACCGG